RNAcentral lists this long non-coding RNA (475 nucleotides) under Elaeis guineensis (African oil palm). RNAcentral's name for it is "long non-coding RNA (EGUI_LNC001305)". Lineage: Eukaryota; Viridiplantae; Streptophyta; Magnoliopsida; Arecales; Arecaceae. The record is from RNAcentral.
AACCCUGGAGCUAAAAACCACCAUGACCAACUGAGGCUCCCAGCCACAGCAAACAUCCUCCCUGCUGAAACUCUGCCUCCCACACCAAUGAAACGUAGCGCUAGACUACGCUCCAAGAAACUUAAAUCCUUAGGACUCAUAGAAUCAGAGGUUUCAUCGCAAGAUCUACUUUACAUCAACUCCCUCACAGUUGCUGAAAUCAAGUCAUUGGGUAAGCACUGCGGUAUCCUUUUCAGCGACCACGGCGACACUGACGUCGCCAAGCUGAGAGAUAUGGAGUAAGGCACGAUGCAAUCAGGCAGCCUCAGUUUGCCCAUGAGCAGGUCAGAUCAUAGUGUUCAGACAUCCGUGAUUUGGCAACUUUUUGGAAUGACAGACCCCAAGCAGAACUUCUCACAGCCUGCGCCUCUUCACUCCAUCUUCGUCCACUGUAUUAACCACCUACCAAGCUUGCUUUCGUUGUUGUCCAACCAGC